Molecule: ribosomal RNA, 448 nt
Filed under: uncultured bacterium
Lineage: Bacteria
Description: bacterial SSU rRNA
Rfam family: Bacterial small subunit ribosomal RNA
Source: RNAcentral
GAACGGCAGCGCGGGAGCAAUCCUGGCGGCGAGUGGCGAACGGGUGAGUAAUAUAUCGGAACGUGCCCAUUAGUGGGGGAUAGCCCGGCGAAAGCCGGAUUAAUACCGCAUACGACCUGAGGGUGAAAGCGGGGGAUCGCGAGACCUCGCGCUAUUGGAGCGGCCGAUAUCAGAUUAGCUAGUUGGUGGGGUAAAAGCCUACCAAGGCAACGAUCUGUAGUUGGUCUGAGAGGACGACCAGCCACACUGGGACUGAGACACGGCCCAGACUCCUACGGGAGGCAGCAGUGGGGAAUUUUGGACAAUGGGCGCAAGCCUGAUCCAGCAAUGCCGCGUGCAGGAAGAAGGCCUUCGGGUCGUAAACUGCUUUUGUCAGGGAAGAAAUCCUUUGGGUUAAUACCUCGAAGGGAUGACGGUACCUGAAGAAUAAGCACCGGCUAACUACGUG